GCCCUAAUUGGAGCCCCGCCGUCCAGAUUUUCCGGCCGGCGCACCACUGGAAAACUCUUCCCCUCCUCACCUCUUUCUACCUAUGGUCACGGUUUAAACAUACAGUAACUCUUGGAGGAGAUCGGAGGAGAAAGCCAAGGUCGAGUUUAAGCUUUUCUGUUUGAAAAACUCGGUUUCCGGCCACCGAUUCUCCUGCGUGAGAGCUUCCAGUGCAAGACUCCAACGUUGAGGAAGCUACUGAGAAACCCAAGUAACGCUUUGGAGAACCGCUGGAGCAGCUGUUAUGAUUUGGGACGAAGUAGGAUCUUUAUCUCGUUUCGGAAGCUACAGGAAUGAUGAAGAGUUGUAGCUUUAGAUUCCUGGUUCCUUGAACAAUGAUUGAAGGUAAAUGUUUACUGUUUGGGUGUUUAUGAAUAGCUGAUUUCCAGUUUAAAUCCCAAACUGAUAUCUCUUCUUUUUCUGCGUUCUUGUUUUCUUCUGCAUUUACUUGGUGUUCUUCAUUUCGACUAUGGAGUAACUGAGCUGCUGAAUAAAAUAAGCAAUAGAGGUGAUGAACGCAAAACCUCAACUUCAUUUGGAAUGGUUCUUACUGUUCAUUAAAUUCAUGUAGUUUGGAAGAAGGUUGGAUAAUGAAGUUGUUCGGCUUUUUGGAAUUCAAGAAGCAUAAGGAACACCUAAAAGCUGCUGGUUGCAAUAUGUAAAGAAAUUGCUUGUGUACUGGGUAUUGGUUUCAAUUCGUAGUUGAACUGUGAAUUGGAAUAUUACUUUUGUGAAGUCCAUUUGGUGUAAUUAUGGUGAGCAAGGUGCACGUUGUUAGUCUUGUAAUGGGUUCCUUAUUUGUAUGUUUUACUGAAUAAUAAAGGAAUUGAAGGUGAUGAAGUAAA
Molecule: long non-coding RNA, 884 nt
Organism: Argentina anserina (silverweed cinquefoil)
Lineage: Eukaryota; Viridiplantae; Streptophyta; Magnoliopsida; Rosales; Rosaceae
Exons: 2
Source: RefSeq, a predicted model, not a curated record